Molecule: RNA transcript, 7796 nt
Organism: Cavia porcellus (domestic guinea pig)
Lineage: Eukaryota; Metazoa; Chordata; Mammalia; Rodentia; Caviidae
Gene name: interferon-gamma-inducible GTPase 10-like
Exons: 4
Source: RefSeq, a predicted model, not a curated record
AUCUACCCGACCUUCACAGAGUGAGAAGCCCCAGCAGCUGUCGGGCUGAGGAAGCCAUCACAAGCUUGGGGACCUGGGGUGGGCACCCAUGGGAGAGGCUGUGGAGCUCUGUGCCCCCAGACCCUGCCCCUGUGAGCCCUCUCUGGGCACACACAGCAGCCUCCUGCUUUCUGUGAGUUCUUCUAGUGCACGUUUGGAUUUGAGCCCCUUGUUUAUCUGUUCCUGCCUAGAGUCCCAAGUUCUGCUGGGAGUCCACAGUAGGUUAACAGAGACAGUCCUUGAACAGGAAACUCCAGUGCCAACUCUCUGCCAGGGACAGGGACACAGCACACACCUGCUGCUGCCUGGGCCUCGCUGCCAUGGAGUCUGGUCUGUGGGAGCUCACAGGGAGCCCUGAGUGGUGUCAGCCCAGGGCUGAGCCCCCUUCUGUGAGUCUGGCUCAGCUCCUGCCUGGCCAAAGCUGGAGUCUGCUCAUGGUGACCUGUGCCCAGGCCCUGGGACGCCCUGUUCUCUCCCCACACAGCAGUCCUCCCCAGUCCCCGAAAAACGAUGAGAAAGAAUAACCAGGGUGCCUCUCACUUCCCCUGCCUGGCAGUGGCCCUGCUUCCGGGAAGAGCACCUUCAGUUUCACUUUCCUGUCCCUGCAGGGUCAGGGCCCUGAGCUCUGGGCUCCUCCCUUCCCUGCUGCUGCUCAGAUUCCUGCCUGAGGAGGGCAGAGCCUGGGGAGGUUUCAGUCCUCAGCUCCUCAGUCAAGGUGCAGUUUUCCUGUGUGCUGAGCCUGGCCCUGACCUGCACUGCCCAGGGAGGACAGGUGUGGACAGCAGGGCUUCACCACACCCCGCACAUUCAGAUCUUCUAGGGGACAUACAGAAGAGCUCCACUCUGACACCACAAACCUGUUUUCUCCAAGGACCUGAGUCUCAAGAAUUGCUAAAAAAAUCCCAAUGCUUACAAAAAAAAAAAAAAAAAGAAGACAGACAUCCUUCAUCAUAGAAAUUGCAAGGCUUUCAGAAAUUCUGUGCCUGGGAUCAGGUGACAGAUCACAGGUGCUAUUGAAGUGGCCUCACUGCCAUAGAGUCUGAUCUGUGACACUGCACAGGAAGGUGUGAGGGCCAUCAGACCAGGAGUUAGCUCAUGUCUGCACACAGUAGUUUGGAUUCUGCCUCAGCUGAGAGCUCUGAGGCUGAUUUUUCUGUCCCCAGCACACCAUGCCCUGGGGAAUAGUGCACUUCUCUCACUGUCACCCCAACAGCACAGUAAGUGGCCACGGUGCUCCUCAGUUUAACUACCUAGAAAUGGCUGUUUCUAGGAAGAACAAUCCAGAGCCCAGUUUCACUUCCCUGUUCCUGGAAUCACAGUGCCCUCCACUUUGAGCUCCUCCCAUGCCCAGGGUUGCCCAGAUCCCAGUCUGAGGAGGGCGGAGCCAGAACCCAUUUAAGUUCUCAGCUCCUCUCUCAAGGUGCUGACUGUCAGCACACUUUGCCUCCAUGCUGGCCACCUGAACCCCGUCCUGCCCUGCCCUGCCCUGCCCUACCCAAGGAGGACAGGCGUGGACAGAAGGUAUUUCCUUUCCCCACACAGUACAUUCGGCUCUUCUGGCUAAACUUUAGGAGCUCAACUCUGACACCAGAAACCUGUUUUCUGCAAGGACCUGGGUUUACCCUAGAGAAACCUGGACAUGUGCUGCAAGGGGAUAGAGGUAAAAAGAUCCACAGUAACCUUACUCAUAAUUAAGGGGGAAAAUUUUGAAAUGGAAGCCUAGCAUGGUGACACAGACCUGUAAUCCCAGCACAUGGGAGGCUGAGGCAGAAGGAUGAUUCCAAGUUGGAGUCCAGCCUGAGCUAUAUAACAAGUACAAAGCACGCCCGAGCUACAUAGCAAGGCCCUACCUCAACAAUCAGGAGACAAGUCCGACAUUUCAUGGAAGAGUGAACUGGUAAAUUGCAAUCUACAGUGAACCACUGUACACAGCACCAAUGAAUUACAGGCAUCGAAUUGAAUGAAUCCUCCAGCACACUGCUGAGUGAGAGGAAAGGCUCUGGCGCCACCUGAUGGGAACUGAUGUUAACGACGGCCUCCGGUCGGCACUGCCACUCCGCGCCUGCCCUGCAAGGUCCUGAGGUCACUGCAGAUGAAAGAGGGCUAAGGGCCGUGUCCCCCACAUGCCACAGGUGGACCGUGGCUCGAGCCGACCAGAUGCAGAUGUACUGCUUUAGGACAAUGGGAACAAAGAUGGGACGAGGACACCUCGGUGUGGUAACCAUGCUGCACUUCCGUGGGUUUCAGUUUAAAAUGACUGCAGAGGGAGCUGGGGACUUAGCUCAGUGGUGUAGCGCCUGCCUGGCAAGCACAAGGCCAAGAGUUCAACCCCCGGCACCAAAAACAAAAUAAAAAAUUAAAAAUAAAAUGACUACAGAACCUUGAUCACAACCAGGGUGGCUGUGGCAUAAAUCUUUUUAAAAGAUGGCACAAAUGUCUUGCCAGCCACUGACUCCCAGACCAUUUGUUUGUCUGUUUGCUAAUGGCAGCUCAAUCCCGGGCCUUGUACAAGUAAGACAAGUGCUCAACCAUGAGCUACUUCCCCAGCUCAUGUUCACAGUGUUGAGAAAGGUCUAGCACGUUCCAGCCACCCUCAGCACACCCUGCCUAGAUUGGCAUGGAAGAUGCUUCUCCUCAAGGGCAUACAUCCUUGCCCCCACCUCCCUGUACUAGGGAUUAAACCCAGGGUGCUCUACCACUAAGCUACAAACCCAGCCCUUUUAAAAACCCUGGUACCAAUAAAAAGUUUUUUUAAAAAAAAAUUUUUUUUUUUUUAUUUUGAGACAAGGUCUAAAUUGCUAAAUUACCGAGGCUGCCUGUCCAGGUUUGCCUGAGAUCCUCCUGUCUCAGGCUCUCAGAUUGUUGAGAUUACAGGCAUCACUGACUGGAUCCUUUUAUCUGGCUGCUACCCAAGACCCACUUCUCUCCACAAGUCCCUAAUAAAUAGCACUUGGUGUAAUCCUGGAGUUAUCAUCCUCUUUGGUCCUGCAGCACCUCUGCCUCUGGUAGUCAGGCUGGCACACUGGGUUUUUCCAAAUCAUCUAUCCUUCACAGAUACAGCCUAAAAUAUCUGUGGAUAAAACACUGGAAUGUUUUUCUUGUAGAAGCAGCCCAACUCAGUGCAGUGUCGCAUGAAAACCUGCUUUUACACCCUUGGGAAGAGAUGGAAAGGGAGUCACCAGGUGACUUGGCUGCCAAUGAGGACUUGGAUCAUGUGAGCCAGAGAAGGCAGCAAGACAGGAGGGGUAGAGAAGUGCAGGAUGAAGACCUGGCCUCCGAUGCGGAGGAAAGCAGUGGUGUGGACAAGUAUCAGGCGAGUCAGGCUGCUCCGGAUGGCCGUGUGCCACGCCUGAGCAGCCCAACGUUAGAACCCGGUCAGAAAAUGGCACGAGGCCCUCGCCAGGCGUGAACCCCGCUGGACGGAACACCAAGGCUGUGAUUCAGUGGGGGGCUGCUUUUAAAGGAUGGUACGUGACAAGGUGCUUCCAAAUGUGCUCACAGUGAAGUGCGUGCAUUGGUAGUAACGCUCGGAAAUGCACUCAUCGGUGCCGCUCAGUCUGCACUGAGGCUUCGCAGCAGGACUGUGCCUUUCUAACCGCAGAGUCUGGACGGUUUACAGAGAAGCAACGCAUGCAGCACUCAGAUUUUUAAAACAGUAACACACAAGAUGUUUGGUCUCUUUCAUACUUGCCUAUGUUUUAGUGACAAAAAGACCUGCCAAGAAAAAGCAAAGAAAAAAUCCGGAAAUUCGGCCGCUGUUCGCUGGUUUAUUGAAAGCUUUGUUUCCCGCUGUCCGGCAGUUUACGCACAGUCCCAGUACAUGACAGCUGACAAGCAACGUGCACCGUUUCAUGGUUGUUGAGGGUUUCGGCAACCUAUGCCAAAUAAACCUUCCAAAUACGAAUAAAAAUGCAUGCCCUGCUAGAUGCAAAGACAUGGUAUCCUUAGAAUUUAGAAGUGUAUCCUGGAGCUCAGACGCCAGGCCUCUCUUCAUGCAGUGGUAAACCCUACAAUGCACCGACUUGUUGCACCUGGUUCAGAAAGUAACCCGAAUGUCAAACUCAGCAGCUGCUCACUAGUUACCCACUGAUGGUACAUUUUCUAAAAAAAAAAAAAAAACACUCCAGCUGCCCAGCACAGGAACUGUUCUCAAGAGAAAGGCUGAGACUCCAGAAAAACUGUUGCAAGUUCACAAUAGACAAAUUUAUGGUUCAGUCUGGGGUUUUAGGACAUAACAUUGGCCUCCCACACAGCGAAGAAAAACAAAGUAGUAUUGGUACUGUCAGUUUACACCAUGAUAAGAUUGCUAGUGAUGCUGGGUGUGGUCCUACAAGUCUGUAAUCCCAGCACUCAAGAGGCUGAGGCAGGAGGAGCCUGUGAGUUCAAGGUCAGCCUGUCCUACUGAGUUCCGUGCUACCGGCAGUGCAUAGCAAGACCCUGUCUCUGAAGACCAGACCGUAACCAAAAAAGACUGAUGCUGAAUCCAACACAAAUGAAGCCAGAAAUGGUCACAUUUUACAACAAAAAGAAAGGCGGAAUAGAUGUCUUGGGCAAGUUAAGCAGCAACUGGGGGCUGGGGAUUUAGCUCAGCGGCAUAAGCACCUGCCUUGCAAGCAGGCGGUCAUGAGUUCGAUCCCUGGUACUGAUAAAAAAGAAAAAGACAAAAAAGAAAAAAAAAGUUAAGCAGCAACUGUGAUGUCACUCAAAACACAAAGCGUUGGCAAAAGGUUGUUUUACCCAACCCUGAACACGUCAGGCAUGAGCAGUUUCACGGUUUACAAAGAAAGUAACAAGCACAAAAUAUCACGGGGAAAUUCUCUUAGGGACUGGGACUGGAACUGAUAGAGGAUGAAUUAUAACAGAGGAAGAGCAACAUGUACCUGCCCAGACAACUCCACAAAGAAUUCCGGAGCGGACCGGUGAAAGCAGGGAGUCCAGCAAGGUGGCAGGAGUGUCCACCAAAGAAGACAGGGAACAGACUCCUGGGCGACUGGUGUAGGAGAAGUCACGUCGUUUGUGGAACGUGUGUUCUCACGGGUGAGGACGGCCCUAGCUGUGAGAACGGAGGCAAGGUUAUGUCCGUGCGGACUUUGUCUGUAUUGAGACUGUAGCUCACCUGGGAAUUUCUUUCUGCUGUUACUUUUUAGGUCUUGUAAGCAGAUAAGCGUUUGAUGUUGAAAAUGCUUAUUCUACACACUCAUCUCGUAUCAAAAUGUUAAUAUUUUAUUGAUUUUUCUUAAGUAUACAGUAAUGUAAUAAAACUUGUAAAAUUAAAAUUAAUAAUUAAUCAAUAGAAAUACUCCUAAAAAUAUAAACAUAGGCAUUUAACACCCUCCAUAAUGCACUUUGUGAAGAAUUUACAAUGGUGCUCCAGGGCACGGGAAGCAUCCUGUACUGAUGUAAGUACUGCCAGAAAUAAUGGAUCUGGCUCCAGCAUAUUCUUUGUUAUCAAAAUAUUUUAAGUAAACGUUUUAUAAGCUAAACUAAGAGAGAUAAGGUGAACAUGGGUGGCUCACGCCUCUAAUCCCAGUACUCUGGGAAACUGAGACAAGAGGAUUACAAAUUCAAGUCCAGCCCUGGAGACUUAGCAGCUUAGCAAGACCUUGCCUCAAAUUAAAAAUAAGCAAGGAUGGGGAAGGCACUCGUGUAAAGCUCCCAGGUUCAAUCCCCAGUACCAAAACAAAAAGAGGAAGGGUGAAUAUUUUAUAACUGAAUUGUAAAGCAAGUUUACAGCCAGGAAUGGUGACGCAUAUCACUGUCAUCCCAGCUCCUCAGGAAGCCGAGACACGAGGGUCGUUUGAGCCCAGGAGUGUAAAGCGUCAAGGGCAGGCCUGCUUGGACGUCACAGAGAGACCCUGCCUCCAAAAAUAACUUUGACUCCAUUCCUGAGUAACCAAAUGACACAGAGAAACUGAUUUCAACCCCACACAGGUGUCGGUUGUGGUCAGCACCCACAGUCCCCUCUGCUGAUGGGUCCUGGGGCCUUGCGCUGCCAUCCCUAUCCCCACUGCACCCCACACCGAGGCCAGGAGAGGUCCCAGCCCAGGCUUCCUUAGCCCAGUGCAGAGGCGGGGACGAGAAAGGGGCCAGAGGGCACCAGCCUCGCCCUGUGGCUGCCCCUCGGUGUUGAGCGUGCACUUGGCCUUUGCUUCCAUCCCGACACCAAAAGGCCAGGGAAAGUAGCCACGGGUGUAGCUGGAGGGUGCAGGGCUUCCCUAGCCAGCCUGGAGCCCCGAAUUCAAACCCUGCACCCAGCACUGCAUGUGCAAAACAAAACCAAAAAGCCUGGAGAGGAGCAGGCUCCUUUUGGCUUUAGAAAAGCUGCAAUUUGUGGUAAACAGGCCCUGACACGCUGCCUGGAUCGGGCGGGCGGCAGGUGGAGGAGGCCGGGGGCACCGCAGUGCUGCUUGCCGGGUACCUGCCUAUUAAAGGGUCGUCUUUCUGCUCAAAGACCAGGGAGCUUAAGCAAAUAACAGGCUGACUUAAAACUGCGGAGACAUGCGUCUCCUGUGACACACACAGCGUCUCAAAAACAAACCACCAAGCCCUUCUGCGCGAAGGUAGGGGACCGUGGGCAGCCGGCUGUGGCCUCAUAUGAGUCACAGCAGACCCCUCGCCCAGGGGAGCUGGUCCAAGAGUUCAGUGGAUCCCCACUGUCCAGAGCACCGAGCCCUGUAUGAUGACUUUCUGUGCCUGCCUGCCUAUGGUAAAGGGUCAUUUAUAAAUAAACCACAGUAAGAGGCCAACAAGAAUGAUACAACAGAGCCACACUGUAUGGAAAAGUUAUUUAAAACUCACAAUUUAUUUCUGGGGGCUUGUUCUUGACAUUCAUGGAAAUCAAAACCUCAGCAAAGAAAGGGCUUCCAUGGACUGGGCAGUUUAAAAGGCCCGGUGGACUGGGACCUGGGAUGUAGCUCAGCUGCUUGAGUUCCUGCCAGGUGAGCCCGAGAUCCUGAGUUCGAUUCCUGGUAUGAAAAUAAAAAGACCCGAGGGGUCCGACUCGGAGCACUUGGGUUUCACUCUGCACCCCGAAGCCUGCGCCCCCUCACCCCUGCUUCCCCCGUCCUGCCCUAGAGGGCACUGCUGACCCUUCGGGGCUCCGGGCCAGCAGCGUGGGGACCUCUGCAGAGAUGGCUCCUCCUUGGGCCUGACACCCAGCCCGGGGGCAGAACCUGGCCCGAGGGUGCCCCGGCCCGCAGCCCACGCACAGCUCACGCACGGCCUAAACUGAGGCCACUCCCGCCACCUCUGGGAUUGCCCUGCACUGGUCACGGCCUGCUCAGGCCCAGCCUAGUCUCCCCAUGUCCCUGCCGAGCAUUUCACUGCUCUCUGUGUCUAUUUGGGGUCCCAGAACGCAGCGUCCCUCACCCUGUGGCUCUGCCCCACAGGGCACAGUGUCCCCUACGCGCGAUUCCCUCCACGUGGAGCCCAGGGCUGCGGCAUUGAGCAGCGGCUGCAGGCAGUGGACAGAGGACCAGACAGCAGGCGGCACCCACUGCAGCACACAGGAGACCAAUGACACAUGGUCCGUAUGGCCGGCCCUGCUCAUUUUCUAAGUGGAAACGUGAUUUUGGAUUUAGACAUGAAGUGCUUUGGUUUCCUAAGUCAGUAACUAACUUAAAGAAUAAUUGUGCAUUAUAUUGGAGUCUGCGCUGCAGGCAGCACUAGGCCGCCUAGGAGUGGCUGUGACCCUCCGGGGUAUGGCUCAGCUGAGAUGUCAGCUCUUGCCUGGGAAGAGCUAACCUUCUCCACAGCUG